AGGACGAACGCUGGCGGCGUGCUCAACACAUGCAAGUCGAGCGGAAAGGCCUUUCGGGGUACUCGAGCGGCGAACGGGUGAGUAACACGUGAGUAAUCUGCCCAUCGCUUCAGGAUAGCCAUCGGAAACGGUGAUUAAUACUGGAUAUGACAUUCCUUCGCAUGUUGGGGUGUGGAAAGUUUUUUCGGCGGUGGAUGUGCUCGCGGCCUAUCAGCUUGUUGGUGGGGUAAUGGCCUACCAAGGCUUUGACGGGUA
This 255-nucleotide ribosomal RNA is filed under the name uncultured soil bacterium. RNAcentral's name for it is "partial 16S ribosomal RNA". It matches the Rfam family "Bacterial small subunit ribosomal RNA", at positions 26 to 285 of the family's 1533-position model. The record is from RNAcentral.